Molecule: unclassified non-coding RNA, 234 nt
Filed under: Glomus sp.
Lineage: Eukaryota; Fungi; Glomeromycota; Glomeromycetes; Glomerales; Glomeraceae
Description: partial contains 5.8S ribosomal RNA and internal transcribed spacer 2
Rfam family: 5.8S ribosomal RNA (bases 1-65)
Source: RNAcentral
GUGAAUCAUCGAAUUUUUGAACGCAAAUUGCACUCUCUUCGGAGAGUAUGCCUGUUUGAGGGUCAGCCUAAAAAAAAAUGGACAUAGUCGCUGUUUUGGCGUGGACAUUGGUCGGAAAUUGGUUCAUCUUAAACCUUUGGUUUUAAGGGGGCUUAAAAUUUUUUUAACGUAUUCCACGAACGUUUCAAGGUUUUAUUUCUUAUACACGUUUAAGGUAUGGAUUUUUAUUAGAUU